RNAcentral lists this ribosomal RNA (474 nucleotides) under Sesamia sp. SECOG7523. RNAcentral's name for it is "partial 16S large subunit ribosomal RNA". Lineage: Eukaryota; Metazoa; Arthropoda; Insecta; Lepidoptera; Noctuidae. The record is from RNAcentral.
UGUCUUUUUGUAUUAAUAUAAAGUCUAAUCUGCCCACUGAUUUAAUAUUAAAGGGCUGCAGUAUAUUGACUGUACAAAGGUAGCAUAAUCAUUAGUCAUUUAAUUGAUGACUUGUAUGAAAGAUUGGAUGAAAUAUAAACUGUCUCUUAGUUAUAUUUAGAAUUUAAUUUUUUAAUUAAAAAGUUAAAAUGCAUUAAAAAGACGAGAAGACCCUAUAGAGUUUUAUAAUUAAAUUAAUUGAGAUUAUUUAUAAAAUAAAAAUUAAAAUUAAUUUAUUUAUUUUGUUGGGGUGACAGAAAAAUAUAAAAAACUUUUUAUAUAAUAAAACAUUAAUAAGUGGUUAAAUGAUCCAAUAUUAUUGAUUAUAAGAAAAAAUUACCUUAGGGAUAACAGCGUAAUUUUUUUUUUUAGUUCACAUAAAAAAAAAAGUUUGCGACCUCGAUGUUGGAUUAAGAUAAAAUUUAAAUGUAGAAG